AUGAAGCUGGAAUUGCUGUAAUGGCAGGUCAGCAUACUGCCGUGAAUACGUUCCCGGGCCCUUGUACACACCGCCCGUCACACCAUGAGAGUUGGGAAUACCCGAAGCCUGUGAGCUAACUGUAAAGAGGCAGCAGUCGAAGGUAGAAUCAAUGAUUGGGGUGAAGUCGUAACAAGGUAGC
Molecule: ribosomal RNA, 181 nt
Filed under: uncultured bacterium
Lineage: Bacteria
Description: partial 16S ribosomal RNA
Rfam family: Bacterial small subunit ribosomal RNA
Source: RNAcentral